CUUCAAUCUCACCCUAAUCUGCUGGAGAAUCAGCUGAAUUUCGUCGAUUAAUCACAUUUCUGCUUCAAUAUUCAUGGCACCUAUAAAGGGCCUUCUUUCUCUACAACGAACUGCAUUAGCUCAGCGUUCUAGUGAAAGAUGGGGCCAAUAUGGUAGGUUAUUUAGCACUCAGGCUGCAUCAACUGCUAGCACUCCCCAACCUACACCCCCACCCCCACCUCCCGAGAGGACUCACUUUGGUGGCCUUAAAGAUGAGGAUCGUAUUUUCACAAAUCUCUACGGAUUGCAUGACCCUUACCUCAAAGGUGCCAUGAAGCGAGGAGAUUGGUACAGAACAAAAGAUCUUGUCAUCAAGGGUUCUGACUGGAUCGUGAAUGAAAUGAAGAAAUCUGGUCUUCGAGGACGUGGUGGUGCUGGUUUUCCAUCUGGUCUCAAAUGGUCCUUCAUGCCAAAGACAACAGAUGGCCGUCCUUCAUAUCUUGUCGUCAAUGCUGAUGAAAG
RNAcentral lists this unclassified non-coding RNA (501 nucleotides) under Hevea brasiliensis (rubber tree). The record is from RNAcentral. Lineage: Eukaryota; Viridiplantae; Streptophyta; Magnoliopsida; Malpighiales; Euphorbiaceae.